Oryctolagus cuniculus (rabbit) is the source of this 2915-nucleotide long non-coding RNA. The record is from Ensembl. Lineage: Eukaryota; Metazoa; Chordata; Mammalia; Lagomorpha; Leporidae.
ACAAGUAAAUGAUCACAUAUACAUAGGCAAGAUAUUAACUUGGUAAAAUAGAGCCACUCAGCUGUUUGAGUAGCCUCAUUGAAGUUUUUAAUGAAGUUCUCUUUCUGUUAUUUUAGAACAUCCCUCAUGUUUGCGGGACGGUAUAGUACGGAAAACAUAGUACACAUGCUUCUUGAACUAGGGGUUGAUGUGCUUUCUGAAGACAUUGCUGGACAUUCUGCUAGGGAUUAUGCUCUUCAAAAACGUAAUAUGCAAAAUUACCAACUCAUUUCGUUGUUUCGAGAAAAUGCUGCACUUGAGAAGAUUGUAAAUAGAAAUCCAGAUGAUGAGCAUUCUAAAGAAUAUAGAAAAAGGCUUUUGGAAAUACCUGAUGUUAAUCAUGAACUGCUUAUAUCAUAUGAGGAAGGCCUCAAUUCAUUUGCCAAGAAAGACUUAAUUCCAGGACAUACAACUGCCAUCAUUCACAGUGCACCAGAAGAGCAACCCAAUAACGACAGAAUAACUCGUGUUCAUGGAGUCCAUGAAGAUAACAAAUGUGGAGCAGAAGAUGAAGCUAAAGAAUCAACUUCAGACCCUGAGGAAGGAACGUCAACUAUAGCGGGUAAGAAGAGUAAAAAAUGUUUUUUCAUCACUCAAGUUGCUCCACAACAGCCAAUUAAUAAACAUGGGCUGGACUCUGAUCACGCAUUGGACAAAGAUAACAAACGUAGUAAGGAGUCUACCUCCCAAAGUGAUCCUGAAGACAACAACUCACCAAGGAAUUCGAAGGCAGGAACGUCAGCUGUAGCGGGUAAGAAGAGUAAAAAACGUUUUUUCAUCGCUCAAGUUGCUCCACAACAGCCAAUUAUGAACUCUGAUCACGGAUUGGACAAAGAUAACAAACGUAGUAAGGAGUCUACCUCCCAAAGAGAUCCUGAAGACAACAACUCACCAAGGAAUUCGAAGGAGGAAUCCUCUGCAGAACCUCUAAAGAGGGAAGAAGUUGCAGUGCCUAUCUCCGGAAUAAGUGAUGAAGCUGUAGAAUCACCGUGGGAUUCUGAGGAAGAAACAUCAAGUGGAAAGGGUGAAGGUCGUGCUGCCACUGGAGGUGUCCCAGAAGGAGAUAUUCUGGAUUAUUUCCUGUCAUGUAGUUGGGCAAGGAUAGCCAAAGAGAGAAAAGCGUCAAUGGCAUCAAGUGGAGAUACUGAAAAGGAUGUGGCUGUCAGUCUAAGUGCCCAAGAGCAUGCAAAGGACACAUUAUCUGGUAUUGCUGGAGUGCCAGAAGACAAAACUAUUGAUAUGCCUGGCUUCAGACCAGAUGAUGAGCCUUUAAAAUACUCCUUAAAGUCUGAGGCAGGAACGUCAGCUGUAGCGGGUAAGAAGAGUAAAAAAUGUUUUUUCAUCACUCAAGUUGAUCCACACCAGCUAAUUAUGAACUCUGAUCACGGAUUGGACAAAGAUAACAAACGUGGUAAGGAGUCUACCUCCCAAAGAGAUCCUGAAGACAACAACUCACCAAGGAAUUCGAAGACUAUUUCUACAAAUUCUUGGAAGGAAUCCAUUAAUCAAUCAAUGGCAGCAGAUGCAAAAGGAAAAGAUAUGAAUGAACCACUGGAAGAGUUUGCUAAGGGAUCCACUGAAUUGACGCCUCGUCUGGAAGCAAUACAUCCCUUUUUGGCAACAUCAGUGGGAAUGAAUGAAGUACAAACAUGCAGACAAGUUACAGGCAGAAUCAAGUUAAAACCAAUACCAAAACAUCUCAAGAGGCAUUUCCUUCCUCACUGCAAUACUAAUCAAUAUAAAAGCACAGAACUUGAGUUAAAAAAUGUCAAGUCUUCUCCAACAAAUAAUGACAUUAAAACAGCACCCAAGGAAGAACAAGAAUGGCUUGAUGGAAGUGAAAAUAAGCAGUUUGAAGAAAAAGGGCAGCGUUGCCAAAGUAAGGAAAUGGAAGUGUUAAGAAACUUGCAUGAAAGUGCUGCUCCUCCUGAGGACAGUGAUGGUUGUGGACUGAAUCAGCAGAGACAGAGUGGGGACCUUGACAACCAGCAAUCUGCCACUAAGAAGAGUGAAGAAUAUUAUUCCUGCCCUGCCUUGCAUAUAAAGGAAAUAAAAAAUGAAAAUGAAAAAGUGACUUCCAUGGAGUAUGGGAUUAGACCAGUGUUUGAGAAUGGCUUUUCACUCACUAGAAGUCUACUGCAAGUGAUUUAUGACAACAAUCUGAGUGAGCUCGAUCGUCUUAAAAGGGAACAGUUAAGAAGAAAAGAAAAGCAAUAUCAUAAAGAAGAAGUGAAACAAGAAGAAGUGACACAUAGAACACUAGAAAUGGAUGUGAGGACUUCAAAAAACAAUUUGACCCAGGUAGAUAUGAAACACCUGCAGCAGCAACAGGAUUACAUUGAGAAAAGGCAAUGUAAAUCAGAGGCAUCGCUGAGAGAUAUGGCACAGUUUUACCUUAAGUUAAACAGCAAGAUGCAGGAUAUAAUGAACAAGUUAGAUGAAAUCGUCAGAAAAGUAUGUAUGAUAUCUAGCAUGUCAAUAAGAAUUCUAGAGCUUAGAGUUUCCAAAUACAAAUAUCAUAAGACCCUGCUUUAUUUGAAUAUGAAAAUCUUGGCACAAUUUUAUCAUUAUGCACUUACUUCUUAAACUCUGAUAUCCACUAUUUAUUGUUAUAUUCUUUAUUAAAAUAAUACUCACUGUUAAAAACUUGAGGAAUAUAUAUCAUUUUUCACAGAAAAUGCACAUUUUUCUCAAUAUUUUCAGUGAUAUCAAUUGUCAUGAUAAAACAAGGCAGAUUGAAUCAGAGGAUAAAAUUUAGCAGAAUUCUCAAAAAAUACAUUUCUUGUUUCACUUAUGUGAAUGGAUACAAAACCUAUGUUUAUUGAUCCUGUGUAUUUCAGAAUAAAUUUUCAAAAUACUUUAUACUAUGCUGAAAU